AUAUAGGUCAAGCUACAAAGGGCGCAUGGUGAAUGCCUUGGCAUCAGGAGCCGAUGAAGGACGUGAUAAGCUGCGAUAAGCUUCGGGUAGGCGCACAUAGCCUGAGAUCCGAAGAUCUCCGAAUGAGGAAACUCACAUGGGAAACCCCAUGUAUCAUUAAGUGAAUACAUAGCUUAAUGAAGGUAACCCAGGGAACUGAAACAUCUAAGUACCUGGAGGAAGAGAAAGAAAAAUCGAUUUUCUUAGUAGCGGCGAGCGAAAGGGAAAGAGCCCAAACCGGAAACUUGUUUCCGGGGUUGAGGACAUAACAUAAAGAGAAGUAAUGGCUAAUUGAAGAGAACUGGAAAGUUCCACCGUAGAAGGUAAUAGUCCUGUAAAUGAAAGCUAGUAUAAUCGAGUUAUGAUCCAGAGUACCACGAGACACGUGAAACCUUGUGGGAAGCAGGGAGGACCACCUCCCAAGGCUAAAUACUACCUGAUGACCGAUAGUGAAGCAGUACCGUGAGGGAAAGGUGAAAAGAACCCCGGGAGGGGAGUGAAAUAGAACCUGAAACCGUGUGCCUACAACCGCUCAGAGCCCCUUAUGAGGGUGAUGAGGUGCUUUUUGUAGAACGAGCCAACGAGUUACGGUAUGUAGCAAGGUUAAGUACUUAAGGUACGGAGCCGAAGGGAAACCGAGUCUGAAUAGGGCGACUAGUUGCAUGCCGUAGACCCGAAACCGGGUGACCUAUCCAUGGCCAGGUUGAAGCGAGGGUAAAACCUCGUGGAGGACCGAACCACGUUGCUGUUGAAAAAGCAUGGGAUGAGCUGUGGAUAGCGGAGAAAUUCCAAUCGAACCCGGAGAUAGCUGGUUCUCUCCGAAAUAGCUUUAGGGCUAGCGUCGAGUAUGAGUAGUGGAGGUAGAGCACUGAAUGGGCUAGGGGGCAUAGCGCUUACCGAACCUUAUCAAACUCCGAAUGCCACAUACUUUGAGCUCGGCAGUCAGACUACGAAUGAUAAGAUCCGUGGUCAAAAGGGAAACAGCCCAGAUCGUCAGCUAAGGUCCCAAAGUGUAAGUUAAGUGGGAAAGGAUGUGAGAUUUCUAAGACAACUAGGAUGUUGGCUUAGAAGCAGCCAUUCAUUAAAAGAGUGCGUAAUAGCUCACUAGUCGAGAGAUCUUGCGCCGAAAAUGUAACGGGGCUAAACUUACCACCGAAGCUACGGGCUUGAACUUAGUUCAAGCGGUAGGAGAGCGUCGUAACCGGGCUGAAGUCGUACCGUAAGGAGCGGUGGACUGGUUACGAGUGAGAAUGUUGGCAUCAGUAGCGAGAUGUGGGUGAGAAUCCCACAGGCCGAAAACCUAAGGUUUCCUCAGGAAGGUUCGUCCGCUGAGGGUUAGUCGGGACCUAAGCCGAGGCCGAAAGGCGUAGGUGAUGGACAACUGGUUGAUAUUCCAGUACCACUACCAUCGUUAUUAUCGAUGGCGUGACGCAGGAGGAUAGUGUGUGCUAGCUAUUGGAUGCUAGUCUAAGCGUUUAGGCAGUGAGAGUAGGCAAAUCCGCUCUCAUAAUGCUGAGGCGUGAUGGGGAAGGUUCUACGGAACCGAAGUACAUGAUUCCACGCUGCCAAGAAAAGCGUCUAGAGAGAGAAGUAGUGCCCGUACCGCAAACCGACACAGGUAGGUGAGGAGAGAAUCCUAAGGCCGGCGGAAGAAGAAUUACAGUUAAGGAACUCGGCAAAUUGACCCCGUAAGUUCGCGAGAAGGGGUGCCUACGAGAGUAGGCCGCAGAGAAUAGGCCCAAGCAACUGUUUAGCAAAAACACAGGUCUCUGCUAAAGCGUAAGCUGAUGUAUAGGGGCUGACGCCUGCCCGGUGCUGGAAGGUUAAGGGGAACACUUAGCGCAAGCGAAGGUGUGAACUUAAGCCCCAGUAAACGGCGGCCGUAACUAUAACGGUCCUAAGGUAGCGAAAUUCCUUGUCAGGUAAGUUCUGACCCGCACGAAUGGCGUAAUGACUUGGGCACUGUCUCAACUGUAAAUCCGGCGAAGUUGUAGUGCGAGUGAAGAUGCUCGCUACCCGCGAUUGGACGGAAAGACCCCGUAGAGCUUUACUGUAGCUUAGCAUUGAGUUUUGGUAUUGUCUGUACAGGAUAGGUGGGAGACUAGGAAACCAGGGCGUCAGCCUUGGUGGAGUCAACCUUGGGAUACCACCCUGACAGUACUGAAAUUCUAACUGGCGGCCAUGAAUCUGGUCACAGGACAUUGUUAGGUGGGCAGUUUGACUGGGGCGGUCGCCUCCUAAAAAGUAACGGAGGCGCCCAAAGGUUCCCUCAGAACGGUCGGAAAUCGUUCGAAGAGUGCAAAGGCAGAAGGGAGCCUGACUGCGACACCCACAAGUGGAGCAGGGACGAAAGUCGGGCUUAGUGAUCCGGUGGUACCUCGUGGGAGGGCCAUCGCUCAACGGAUAAAAGCUACCUCGGGGAUAACAGGCUGAUCUCCCCAAGAGUCCACAUCGACGGGGAGGUUUGGCACCUCGAUGUCGGCUCGUCGCAUCCUGGGGCUGAAGUAGGUCCCAAGGGGUUGGGCUGUUCGCCCAUUAAAGCGGCACGCGAGCUGGGUUCAGAACGUCGUGAGACAGUUCGGUCCCUAUCCGUCGCGGGCGUAGGAAAUUUGAGAGGAGCUGUCCUUAGUACGAGAGGACCGGGAUGGACUGACCUCUGGUGCACCAGUUGUUCCGCCAGGAGCACAGCUGGGUAGCUAAGUCGGGAAUGGAUAAACGCUGAAAGCAUCUAAGCGUGAAGCCAACCUCAAGAUGAGAUUUCCCAUAGCGUAAGCUAGUAAGAUCCCUUGAAGAACACAAGGUUGAUAGGUCGGGGGUGUAAGCAUGGUAACAUGUUCAGCUGACCGAUACUAAUAGAUCGAGGGCUUGACCAAAU
Molecule: ribosomal RNA, 2914 nt
Filed under: Clostridium perfringens
Lineage: Bacteria; Bacillati; Bacillota; Clostridia; Eubacteriales; Clostridiaceae
Description: 23S ribosomal RNA
Rfam family: Bacterial large subunit ribosomal RNA
Source: RNAcentral